CUGCUUACUUCGGCAGCACAUCUGCUAACACUGGAACAAUACGGAGAAGAUUAACAUGGCCCCUGCGCCAUGAUGGCACGCACAUGUGUGAAGCAUUCCAUAUUACA
Small nuclear RNA from Echinops telfairi (small Madagascar hedgehog), 107 nucleotides. The record is from RefSeq and is a predicted model, not a curated record. NCBI's taxonomy places the organism in Eukaryota, Metazoa, Chordata, Mammalia, Afrosoricida, Tenrecidae.